UUACAUUUCAAGAACCCUCCCCCACACACCUGUAGGGGGGGGGUGUUAUGUGUGCAACUGUUUUCAGUCCGGGUAGGACACCUUUUGUAGAGAGUUGUUGCGUUUGCUAGUUUCAAGUGAUCAAGUGAGGCUGACAGUCUGCGAUUUAUAUUUGUUAAAAUUGAAAGUGGAUUAUGCUGGUUAAGUGAAAUGUCACAACACGUUCUAAACUGCUCUGUCGACAAACACACGUUUUACCUUGUCACCAUUCGUCCCAUAUUGCUGCUGGCUGCGCUUUGCUACCACUGAAAAAUCUUGAAGAUUGCCCAUUAUUAUAAAAAAUAAGGGCUCAAAAACAGAGGCAGUGGGAGAACCUAUUCAAUUAUGGAAAGUUGUGAAAGCCUGUGUUUGCAGAUGAAGAGAGAGGUCCUAAUGAAUGUCCCAAGAGACUAAUGGUGUGUUUCCGUACAGGAUUUACCCCAGUGUUUUACCUAAAAGGCUCAGACUUUUUGUUUCCAUCUACGUGGGCCGGCACCCGUGUCUGGGCCAUGGCUCCGGCAGACCUGCUCUCACUUGGGGCCAAAGCCAGGCCACUGGUACUUUUUAGCCCAUAUAUACAUAACAAUGGCUAACUUUAACACCUUUCACACAGUAACUGUGUAUACCAGCGUAUUUUUGUAUAUAACUUUUGCUAACAUAGGUAGGCCUACCUAUAUGCCUUGGUUUAUAUGUGUAGGCCUACAUAUGUUAGCACAUGUUGUAUACAAAAACAGUUGAACAUCACACACAAUGUAUAAACCUAUUACAAUUGGAGAAGGCUGGAGGUCUGAUAGGUGUGCAGGGUUCUGUUUCAGCCCAGAAAUAACACACCUGAUUCAACUUGUCAAACCUAAUGAGUUGAUAAUCAAGUGUACUAUUG
This is a long non-coding RNA of Oncorhynchus kisutch (coho salmon), 898 nucleotides long. RefSeq lists it as uncharacterized. NCBI's taxonomy places the organism in Eukaryota, Metazoa, Chordata, Actinopteri, Salmoniformes, Salmonidae. The transcript has 2 exons. The record is from RefSeq and is a predicted model, not a curated record.